RNAcentral lists this ribosomal RNA (1425 nucleotides) under uncultured Bordetella sp. Its description in RNAcentral is "partial 16S-23S ribosomal RNA intergenic spacer". It matches the Rfam family "Bacterial small subunit ribosomal RNA". The record is from RNAcentral. Lineage: Bacteria; Pseudomonadati; Pseudomonadota; Betaproteobacteria; Burkholderiales; Alcaligenaceae.
UGGCGGGAUGCUAGCAAGUCGAACGGCCAGCACGGACUUCCGGUCUGAAGUGGCGAGUGGCGAACGGGUGAUAAUGUGUCAGGACGUGCUGGUAACAGGAUAACUGCGCGGCGUACUCAAUACCUAUGCGCCCUUCGGAAAAAAGCGAAGGACGCUCGGGCGCCACUCUCCAGCAACCGUAUCGGGUCUUAACUGAAUUGAUUGGGGUAACGCUCGCAAAGGCGACGAUCGUAGCUGGUUUCAGAGGACUGACCAGCCACACUGGGGCUGAGCGGCCCGAACUCUACGGGAGGCAGCGGUGGGGGUGCGGACAAUGGGGAAACCUGAUCAGCCAUCCCGCGUGUGCGAUGAAGGCCUUUCGGGUUGCCAAAAAACGCCUUGGCGGAAAACGGCACAGGAUGUACCCCGGUAGCUGAUCGAAACACCUGCAGAAUAAGCACCGGCCAACUGCGUGCCGGCAGCCGCGGUAUGCGUAGGGGUGCAAGCGUUAAUCGGAAUUACUAGGCGUAAAGCGUGCGCAGGCGGUUCAGAGGAAAGAGAUGGUGAGAAUCCCAGAGCUUAACACAAGAACUGCAUUUUUAACUACCGGCUAGAGUGUGUCAGAGGAGAGUGGAGAUUUCGCGUGUAGCGAUGAAAUGCGUAGAUAUGCGAACACCGAUGUAGAGCAACCUCCUGGGAUAACACUGACGUCAUGCGAAAGCGUGGGAGCAAACAGGUCCGGAUACCGCCAGUGAGAUUACGCCUGAUGUCAAUAGCUGUUGGGGCCUUCCAGGCGCUUAUUGCUAACUAACGCGUGAAGUUGACCGCCUGGGAAAAUUCUGGUCGCUUAAGAUUAAAACUCCAAAGGAAUUGACAGGGACCCGCACAAGCGGUGGAUGAUGUGGAUUAAUUCGAUGCAACGCGAAAAAGCCUUACUACCAUGACAUGUCUGGAAUCCCGAAAGAGAUUUGGGAGUGCUCGCAAAGAAAACGGAGAACCCACAGAGUGCUGCAUGGCUGUCGUCGAAAAACCGUAUCGUAAAGAUAUUAAAUUCGGUCUGGCAGCGCAACCCUUUGUCAUUAGUUGCUACGAAGGGCACUCGUGGGACUGCCGGUGACAAACCGGAGGAGGUAGGGGAUGACGUCAGGUCCUCAUGAAGCCCUUCUUAUGGUGCGGGCUUUCCCGAUCGCUGGUCAGGACAGAGGGUCACCGGCCAGCCCGCGAAGGGGAGCCAAUCCCGAAGCAGUCCGGAUCGCAGUCUGCCAGCUCGGCUACGUGAAGUCAGAAUCGCUAUUAAUCGCGGAUCAGCAUGUCGCAGUGAAUGCGUUCCGGAACCUUUGCACCGCCCGUCCUACAUGGGGGUAGGUUUACCAGAAGUGGUCCGGCCUAACCGUAGGGCGAUUACCACGGUAGGAUUCACGACUGGGGUGAAGUCGUAACGGGUAA